UACGUAGGGUGCAAGCGUUGCCCGGAUUUAUUGGGCGUAAAGGGCGCGUAGGCGGUCACGCACGUCCGUUGUGAAAUCGCUCGGCUCAACUGGGCGGGGUCAGCGGAUACGGCGUGGCUGGAGCAAGCUAGGGGGCAAUGGAAUUCCCGGUGUAGUGGUGGAAUGCGUAGAUAUCGGGAGGAACACCAGUGGCGAAGGCGGUUGCCUGGAGCUUUGCUGACGCUGAUGCGCGAAAGCGUGGGGAGCGAGCCGG
RNAcentral lists this ribosomal RNA (253 nucleotides) under uncultured bacterium. RNAcentral's name for it is "partial 16S ribosomal RNA". It matches the Rfam family "Bacterial small subunit ribosomal RNA", at positions 524 to 776 of the family's 1533-position model. The record is from RNAcentral.